RNAcentral lists this ribosomal RNA (1432 nucleotides) under uncultured organism. RNAcentral describes it as "16S ribosomal RNA". It matches the Rfam family "Bacterial small subunit ribosomal RNA". The record is from RNAcentral.
UGCUUAACACAUGCAAGUCGAACGGAAAGGCCCUGCUUUUGUGGGGUGCUCGAGUGGCGAACGGGUGAGUAACACGUGAGUAACCUGCCCUUGACUUUGGGAUAACUUCAGGAAACUGGGGCUAAUACCGGAUAGGAGCUCCUGCUGCAUGGUGGGGGUUGGAAAGUUUCGGCGGUUGGGGAUGGACUCGCGGCUUAUCAGCUUGUUGGUGGGGUAGUGGCUUACCAAGGCUUUGACGGGUAGCCGGCCUGAGAGGGUGACCGGCCACAUUGGGACUGAGAUACGGCCCAGACUCCUACGGGAGGCAGCAGUGGGGAAUAUUGCACAAUGGGCGGAAGCCUGAUGCAGCAACGCCGCGUGCGGGAUGACGGCCUUCGGGUUGUAAACCGCUUUCGCCUGUGACGAAGCGUGAGUGACGGUAAUGGGUAAAGAAGCACCGGCUAACUACGUGCCAGCAGCCGCGGUGAUACGUAGGGUGCGAGCGUUGUCCGGAUUUAUUGGGCGUAAAGGGCUCGUAGGUGGUUGAUCGCGUCGGAAGUGUAAUCUUGGGGCUUAACCCUGAGCGUGCUUUCGAUACGGGUUGACUUGAGGAAGGUAGGGGAGAAUGGAAUUCCUGGUGGAGCGGUGGAAUGCGCAGAUAUCAGGAGGAACACCAGUGGCGAAGGCGGUUCUCUGGGCCUUUCCUGACGCUGAGGAGCGAAAGCGUGGGGAGCGAACAGGCUUAGAUACCCUGGUAGUCCACGCUGUAAACGGUGGGUACUAGGUGUGGGGUCCAUUCCACGGGUUCCGUGCCGUAGCUAACGCUUUAAGUACCCCGCCUGGGGAGUACGGCCGCAAGGCUAAAACUCAAAGGAAUUGACGGGGCCCCGCACAAGCGGCGGAGCAUGCGGAUUAAUUCGAUGCAACGCGUAGAACCUUACCUGGGUUUGACAUGGAUCGGGAGUGCUCAGAGAUGGGUGUGCCUCUUUUGGGGUCGGUUCACAGGUGGUGCAUGGCUGUCGUCAGCUCGUGUCGUGAGAUGUUGGGUUAAGUCCCGCAACGAGCGCAACCCUCGUUCACUGUUGCCAGCACGUUAUGGUGGGGACUCAGUGGAGACCGCCGGGGUCAACUCGGAGGAAGGUGGGGAUGACGUCAAGUCAUCAUGCCCCUUAUGUCCAGGGCUUCACGCAUGCUACAAUGGCUGGUACAGAGAGUGGCGAGCCUGUGAGGGUGAGCGAAUCUCGGAAAGCCGGUCUCAGUUCGGAUUGGGGUCUGCAACUCGACCUCAUGAAGUCGGAGUCGCUAGUAAUCGCAGAUCAGCAACGCGGCGGUGAAUACGUUCCCGGGGCUUGUACACACCGCCCGUCAAGUCAUGAAAGUUGGUAACACCCGAAGCCGGUGGCCUAACCGUUGUGGGGGAGCCGUCGAAGGUGGGACUGGUGAUUAGGACUAA